RNAcentral lists this ribosomal RNA (305 nucleotides) under uncultured bacterium. RNAcentral describes it as "bacterial SSU rRNA". It matches the Rfam family "Bacterial small subunit ribosomal RNA", at positions 334 to 636 of the family's 1533-position model. The record is from RNAcentral.
GUACCCUACGGGACGCAGCAGUGAGGAAUAUUGGUCAAUGGGCGAGAGCCUGAACCAGCCAAGUCGCGUGAAGGAUGAAGGAUCUAUGGUUUGUAAACUUCUUUUAUAAGGGAAUAAAGUGAGGAACGUGUUCCUUUUUGUAUGUACCAUAUGAAUAAGCAUCGGCUAACUCCGUGCCAGCAGCCGCGGUAAUACGGAGGAUGCGAGCGUUAUCCGGAUUUAUUGGGUUUAAAGGGUGCGUAGGGGGUUAAUUAAGUCAGCGGUGAAAGUUUUUGGCUCACCCAUAAAAUUGCCGUUGAAACUGU